Salmo salar (Atlantic salmon) is the source of this 54-nucleotide non-coding RNA. NCBI's taxonomy places the organism in Eukaryota, Metazoa, Chordata, Actinopteri, Salmoniformes, Salmonidae. The record is from Rfam.
AACGCACUUCACUAUAAGUCGCUCUGGAUAAGAGCAUCUGCUAAAUGACUAACA